CAAGAGGUGUUUAAAUUAGAAUAUCAGCUUUGGGUGUUGAUGGUAGGGCAUAGGCUCUUCUCUUGA
This 66-nucleotide transfer RNA is filed under the name Myotis atacamensis (Atacama myotis). RNAcentral describes it as "tRNA-Pro". The record is from RNAcentral. Lineage: Eukaryota; Metazoa; Chordata; Mammalia; Chiroptera; Vespertilionidae.